This 273-nucleotide ribosomal RNA is filed under the name uncultured bacterium. Its description in RNAcentral is "partial 16S ribosomal RNA". It matches the Rfam family "Bacterial small subunit ribosomal RNA", at positions 524 to 796 of the family's 1533-position model. The record is from RNAcentral.
UACAGAGGGUGCAAGCGUUGUUCGGAAUUAUUGGGCGUAAAGCGCGUGUAGGCGGCCUUGCAAGUCGGGUGUGAAAGCCCUCAGCUCAACUGAGGAAGUGCGCCCGAAACUGCUGGGCUUGAGUGCCGGAGAGGGUGGCGGAAUUCCCCAAGUAGAGGUGAAAUUCGUAGAUAUGGGGAGGAACACCGGUGGCGAAGGCGGCCACCUGGACGGUAACUGACGCUGAGACGCGAAAGCGUGGGGAGCAAACAGGAUUAGAUACCCUCGUAGUCC